Molecule: small RNA, 712 nt
Filed under: Pan troglodytes (chimpanzee)
Lineage: Eukaryota; Metazoa; Chordata; Mammalia; Primates; Hominidae
Description: retained intron
Source: RNAcentral
GUGAUCUUAGCCCUCUUUUUAGAGUUGAAAUGGUUCAUCAAAGUUAAAUGACAUACUAGUUAACACACAAGCAGACCCAGGGCUUAGAAACAGAUCUCCUGAGUACAAGCCCAGUGCCCCAUUACCUCAUAUACCCUAUGUUCUAGAAAGGUAGAUGAUUCAAUAUAUUGAUAAUGUAUAAAUUAAUUUGCUUGGCAUUUAAUGUCUUAGGCUUAAGACAUUGUUAUGGAAAGGUAUAUUUGUCUUUCAGUUUAUGCCAGUUCAAGUACCAAAUGAUGAAGAAAAAAAUGAUCCUGUCCUUUUUGCCAAUAAAGUCCGGAAUUUAAUGGCAGAAGCUCUGGGAAUACCAGUAACAGAUCAUACCUAUGAAGAUUGCAGAUUGAUGAUUUCAGCAGGACAGCUAACAUUGCCUAUGGAAGCUGGGCUGGUGGAAUUUACUAAAAUUAGCCGGAAAUUGAAAUUAGAUUGGGAUGGUGUUCGUAAGCAUUUGGAUGAAUAUGCAUCUAUUGCGAGUUCCUCAAAAGGAGGAAGAAUUGGAAUUGAAGAAUUCGCCAAGUAUUUAAAGUUGCCUGUUUCAGAUGUCUUGAGACAACUUUUUGCACUCUUUGACAGGAACCAUGAUGGCAGCAUUGACUUCCGAGAGUAUGUGAUUGGCCUGGCUGUCUUGUGCAACCCUUCCAACACAGAGGAGAUCAUCCAGGUGGCAUUUAAG